Molecule: ribosomal RNA, 480 nt
Filed under: uncultured bacterium
Lineage: Bacteria
Description: bacterial SSU rRNA
Rfam family: Bacterial small subunit ribosomal RNA
Source: RNAcentral
AUGGCUCAGGAUGAACGCUGGCGGCGUAGCUUAACACAUGCAAGUUGCGCGGUGAUCUCAAGAAGUUUCGGACGGAAAGGGAGAGCAGCAGCGGACGGGUGAGUAAAGCACAAGGACUUGUCCCGAAGAGGGGGACAACUGUGGGAAACCACAGCUAAUACCCCAUAAGCCGAGAGGUGAAAGCAGUAAUGCGCUUUAGGAGAGACUUGUGUCCUAUCAGGUAGUUGGUGAGGUAACGGCUCACCAAGCCGAAGACGGGUAGCCGGACUGAGAGGUUGUACGGCCACAUUGGAACUGAGAGACGGUCCAGACUCCUACGGGAGGCAGCAGUGGGGAAUAUUGGGCAAUGGGGGGCAACCCUGACCCAGCGACGCCGCGUGAGGGAAGACAGCCUUCGGGUUGUAAACCUCUGUUGCAGGGGAAGAAGAAAGUGACGGUACCCUGCGAGGAAGCUCCGGCAAACUACGUGCCAGCCGCCGC